UACAGAGGGUGCAAGCGUUGUUCGGAAUUAUUGGGCGUAAAGCGCGUGUAGGCGGCUAUGUAAGUUGGGUGUGAAAGCCCUCGCUUAACCGAGGAAGUGCGCCCAAAACUGCAUUGGCUUGAGUACCGGAGAGGGUGGCGGAAUUCCCGGUGUAGAGGUGAAAUUCGUAGAUAUCGGGAGGAACACCAGCGGCGAAGGCGGCCACCUGGACGGAUACUGACGCGUGAGACG
RNAcentral lists this ribosomal RNA (231 nucleotides) under uncultured bacterium. Its description in RNAcentral is "partial 16S ribosomal RNA". It matches the Rfam family "Bacterial small subunit ribosomal RNA", at positions 524 to 753 of the family's 1533-position model. The record is from RNAcentral.